Chlorocebus sabaeus (green monkey) is the source of this 20012-nucleotide non-coding RNA. NCBI's taxonomy places the organism in Eukaryota, Metazoa, Chordata, Mammalia, Primates, Cercopithecidae. The record is from RefSeq and is a predicted model, not a curated record.
GUGCUUAAUUUUGAUUUAGCCCAUUUAUAUUACCCUGUUCCUUGAUGACUUUUGCUUUCUUUAUCCUAUUUAUAAGAAGACUCUCCUUAUCUUCAACAUCAUAAACGCAGUUUUCAAUAUUCUCUUCUAUUUUUAAAAAGUAUUAAGUCUUUCAUCCAUCUGGGCCUUAUUUUAGUAAAUGAUGUAAAGUAAGAUCUAAUUUUAUGCACUAGUCAUUGAGCUAAGAGCUUUACGUGCGUGAUCUCAGUCACUCACACUAUCCGAAAAGUUUGGCACGCUCACAUCCAUCUUCCAGAUGAGGAAACAAACUGAGAGAGAUGCAGUCAUUUGCCUCAAGGUCCCAAAGGUCAACAUAGAGCGGUCACCUGAAAUGACAUCCACCACUGAGAUGACCCAGGUCUGUGUGUACCCAAGUGCCUCCUCUGGAGUUCCCUGCAGGUUGAACAUUGACUGAUCACAAUGAGAGGAGGAAUUUGGACCAAGUAGAGAAGAGCCUUUCUCAUGUAGGAACUGAAAUUACUGAGCAUCUCUGAAGACCAGGGAGACAAGCUCCAAAGCAGGCAGCUGACCUCUGAAAAGGACAAAGAAUCCCACAGUCUCAGCACCACCACUCAAAUGUAUCAGCUUUGGGCACCACUAACUCUAGGCUAUGAGACUUCUUUGGGGGCAUCCAACCCAGACAGGUCUUGCACCUCACUGAGUAGAACACCGGUCCAGGCUUGGCUCCUCUGUCUUUACAGCAGCAGGGGGCCAGCAGGCUGCGAGCACAAGCUCUCCUUCAUUACCCAUUUCUGCUGGGCCCCUGACUGGGGAGGCUAAGUAUGGGAUGGGGGUGUUCCAAGGGUCAACAAAAGGAGGAGGAUGAAGGGAAAAGCCGGCCAGCUGAGGGGAAAAGCUCUUUCUGCUAUUACUGUGCCCAUCACACAGCCCCCCACCCACUCACCUGUAUGGGCUGGAAGCCUGGCCCAAUUGUUGCAUCUUUCCCCAAAGAAGUGUGUGAAACACACACUUAGAAUGCAGAGCGGUGGCUCCAGGCACCCUCGGCAUUUACUAUAAAUCACAGAGACAGGAGAGCUAUGAGUCCCCACCUGCAGAAUCACUGAAGCAGCUACUCUGGGCAUAUCUUACCUGAAAACGGUUUUCCUGCUUCCUCCACAGCCCAUCGGGGUUUGGGGGCCAAACACAGAGAAGCUAUUCCCUGGGGCAGCAUUCUUGAGUCCUGGAAAAGUGUUUUUGAUAUGAUCCUGACAUCAAGACCCUCUUAAAUGCUGGCAUUUUCUGACCUUCCUUACAACUAUUUUCCCCUGAAACCAUGCCUUCCAUGCCUGCCCUCAUGUCCUGUGGUUUUUUUUUUUUUUUUUUUUAAUGUUCUGCCAUGAUUAUGUGUGUUUAUUAUCUUCUUCCCACUAAUAGACGUUAAGCUCCUUAAGGGAAGAACGGGUCGUCUUUGUGGGAGAUCAGUAAAUUCUAUUUAAUUUCUUUUUAAAAAGGUACAAGGAAAAAAUUCAAUCUUCUUUUUCUUAAUAGAUCUUUUCUCCAAAUCAGCUGCUUUCUUCUCUCUGCUCAGAACAGAAUGUAGUCAUCCCCCUAUUUAAGCCUUUAUUCAGGCCAUUCGCCCCAUCUGGGAUGCCCUUUCUUCUCUGAGUUGAUGUUUAGACUCUCAGUUGUGUUGCUCAAGCUGCCCUUGAUAUGCUCAUUUUAACUGUAUGUCGUAUGCUAUAUAAUGGGAGGAGAAAGAAGAAGUGGCCCUUUCUGCGGGGCUUCCCCUGAGUCUCCCUCUUGGCCCUAGAGCUGACCUUGUGUGUCCCAGCCAUGGAAGAGGCUGUGCACAGCAGCUCAGCAGGCCUGUGCUCCAGACCAGGCAGUCCUGCCCUCUGCUCUUCAUACCCAAUCCCAUCAUCAUCAGGCAGGUGACGCCCUCUAGAUGCACCUACUCAAGCACAGAUGCUGCUUGGAAGGGAUGGGGAGGCUCACUGGGCCCAGGCUGUCAGCAUACCAGCCCACCUCAGUUAACGACUAACUCGUGUAUUCUGUUGGCUUUGUCACCUCGUGGUGGGCAGUUUCCUACCCAGAUCCCCCAGCUUUCCUUCCUCGAACCCAAAUUCACAUGAUAGAGCUUGUCCCCAUGCAAUCUGGAUUUAGCAGACAUCUCUACUGGUGGAUUAGUGGGAGAAAAGCAACAUUUCCUUUACUAAAAUGUGUUGAAUUUAAAAAGAUUAAAACAUGAUUUCCCUCCCUCCACCUGCCUCAGUGGAGGUGUCUUCCCCUUAGAUAAACGUCGGGCUUAUUGAUUAUUGGAUUAUACAUGUUGGUUUCUUGAGGUCAUCAGGCAAGGACACACCUGGAUGCCCUUUGUAGGGCACCAUAAUUUUCAGUGUUGACUGCAGAGAAGUGGAUUCUCUGCAGGAAAGGGGAACUUUGAGUGGUCUGGGCCUCUCUUGCCUUGCUCCCUUGGCCAUGGAGCUUGUGAGGGUCCCAGUGAACUUGAAUUAGGCCCCAUGUGGUGGGCUCUGUUGCCUCACAACAGCAUCUUGUUUUGUCAGGCUAUCCCAGUGGUGCUCAACCUCUUAGCUUAUUUUGCUUAUUUUACCCUGAGUCUGGUUAUGUUCCAGUUUGGGCAGAAUGCAGGUAAGUUGUGUGUGUGCCCAGCCUGGCUGUGAAUGUGGUAGUGAGCGAGAGUCUCCCCAGGACAGCCUGGCUCAGUGGCAGGUGCAGGUGGUCAAGGUUCAACUUCUCCCUGUCCCUUGUGGGCAGUCUUCAGCAUUGCCAGCCCUGAGCGAUGUGGGUUUAUGUCAGAGGGAGAGGUGGUUUCCUUGUCAAUUCCCUGCAGGAUUACUUUAGGCAGAGUCCAUUUAUUUUCCGCACCUGCAUGAAUGAUCGUAUGGGAAAAUGUGGCAUAGGGUGUAGUUUUACAACAGGGCAGAUAGAGACAAACUCUGCUGGGGGAAUGGAGGGAGAUUUCAGGGGUUUGGGAGGUUUGAGAGUGAGUAAGAAUUUGCCGAGGACAGAGCCGGAAGAGCACAUGACCAUUGAGGGCAUGUUUUGUCCCCAGAAGAGAGUUGAGCCAGUAAAAGGGUGGAGGCAUCUGGGGAAGAGAUGGGAGAUGGGGGUGGGGGAGUGAAGGGCCAUCAGGCUUUAGUGACACACAAAACCUUGAGUGUGACCAGGAAUUUGGAUUUCUGUGUAUAAUAGGGAGCGCCCUUCUGAAGGCAGUAUAGGUUGGUUUGAUUUAGAAAACCCACUUAGGAGGCUGGAGUGAUGAAACUGGAUUGCGUUUUUCCAGGAAGAAGACCUCCUUGAGAAGAAGGUGGGUGAAGGCAACAAGCAAUUGACACGGAUCGAGCAUCUAUACUGGGUAGCUUUGUGUGCGGCUCUCUCAGGGCUUGUGGUCAUCUAUAGAGGAGCCCAGCAAGUGAAGAGUUUUCUAAAUCAAACCAACUUAUACUGCCUUCAGAAGGGCACUCCCUUUUAUAGACAGAAAUCCAAACAGAAUUCCAGCAUAAAGAGGAGUUCAGCUGCACAGCAAUGACUUCUUCAGUCACCUUUGGUUCCUUGUUGAGGGAGGGUCUGUGGUCACUGAGGGCCAAGGGCCAUAGCUCUCAGGUUUCAGAAGUGGCCCCUUGAAGAAGCCUGUGGGAAGUGAAUUGCAGCUGUGAUUCAAGUCAGGUCAACCAGGAGUUUCAGAGUUCAUAAUGAGCCCAGGACACCCUCUUUCCUGGGGGUCAGCUUAGGCAGUAGAGACUGCACACCUGCACUGGGGGGCCCAUCCUCUGUGCAGGGGAAACAGUCCAAAUGCCCAGGACUUUAAUAGGAUGGCAGUGCUGCUUAGACUCCCAGGCAGUGCUGUCUAGGUGGGAAAUGGGCUAGGACAGGGAUAGGUGAGAUCUGAAGAGGUAGAGAGCACAAAAUGCAGGCAUCCCUCAAAAGAAACACAUCCAAAUGGUUUUGCAAGUACCAUUAGCUAAUGUGGUUGAGUGUCUUUAUGUGUAGAAUUAUGUAAAGAGUCAUGAAGGCAGGUCAAGACCAAAGUGAAGUGGUGCCCCUGCUUUCUUGGGGCCCACUUGCCAUGGAAGACACGAUCACUCAUUCAUUCAUCCCACAAAUACUGAACUCUCACCAUGAGCUGGCUCUGCACUAGAUGUGGGGACACGACCCUAAAAGGGAGGGAGGCAUAGCAAACUAAUACAGUGAAGGGGAUAAUCUGUAUUGGUUUGAAAGGGAUAAACUCUCUAAAUAAUACCUGUGAGGUCUUAGGAGGCUGGAGUGAUGAAACUGGAUUGCAUUUUUCCAGGAAGAAGACCUCCUUGAGAAGAAGAUAGGUGAGUGAAGGCAACAAGCAAUUGACACGGAUCGAGCUUCUACACCGGGAAGUAUUCCCUGUGAACCCAUGAGACCUCAUCCCUGUGUUGGUCUGGCUGGCUUUCCCUGUGAGAUACAGGUUCCUCCAGAAGAGCUGGAGCUCCAUUCCAGCCCUAGACUUCUCCUUGCUUCCAGACUUCAAGAUGAGAAGCAUUUUUCCAGUCCACAAGUGUUAGAGGACACUGCCGAUGAUGUGUGUUUUGCCCAGGCUGGACUCAGCUUCUUUGGGCUCAAGUACCCAAUCAAUAACCGCCUCAGCUCCAGAGCUCAUAGAACCAGUGGAACUUCUCCCCAGAUUCUGACCAAGGUGUGUGUAUUAGUUAGCACUGUUAGUCUCCUCUUUUCUCAUGUUGUUUUCCAAUGGGGCUUUAGAAAAAGUGAAGUCCUAUACUUAGGUAGGAAGAGGCCAUCUUGAGGAAAAAAAUAGAACAAACUGCUCUUAGUGGAAGUACACCUGGAAUCCCAGGAGAGAACGGCUGAAACAACAAGCCCUAUCCCAGUGCACCUCUAAUCUUUUGAUUAGAAAAGAGGGAGGCCUCUUUUCAUGAGAAAUCAGAUAGUCCCAUGAGGAUGGUGCUCUCACACUGAUGGAGAGCAAUUCAGGGAAUGAGUCUGGGCCCUGCCUCCGAGCUCUACAGAAACGAUGCCCGGACUCUUUCCCACCAAGUAGGCCUACUGUGUCCAGCUUCUUAUGGAUCUCAUAAAAUUUUGUUUCCCAAGUGAACCAGUUUAGUGAAAAUAUGUUUUCCCAUUUUAACUGCUCCCUUAACUUCCAAAGUGCGUAUGAUAUUCCAGAUUAUCACACUAAACUGCUGUCAUUCCUGGCAAGAGCAAAGAAGGCUCUGUUUCAUGAGCCAGAGGAGCUUGCUGUGGGUAGACAACUCGAGCCAGGCUUUUAGAAGCUUUGAAGAUAGAGCAAUUUACUGCUUUUAAUGACAUUCAUUUUGGUGUCUUUCAUAUUUAUAAAAAAGGAACAACCAAAUAGACCAGGGGAGUGCUUACGUAUACAUCUGUUGGGUCUGGCACCUCCUGGUCAUGCUCUCGGUAGGGAGUGCCUUCUGGAACCACCAGUCUAGUGGUCCUCUCCCCACCCACAUCCCUCUCCAUUUUGCCAUCUGUUUUAUUCACACAUAAUAUGUAUGGUCUAUACUUAUCUGAUAUAUGCACUUCUUGCUUGUCCUCCCCCUCGGGAAUGUACACUUGAUGAGAGUAGGGGUCUUGCCUGUCUUAUCCACUGCAUAGCUCCAGUCAAGAGAAGUCAUUGCCAUGGAAAAGGCACUCGACAAAUAUGCCUUUAACUUGUUGAAUGAAACUAUCAAAUUCCUGAUGGUGGAAGUCUGGACACUGGAGUCCCAGGUGGGGAAAGAAACCAUGAUGCAAUAGGACUCCAACUACACAGGGGUUCUGCUUAUGUUAGAAAAGCUUCCUGACUUUGUGUGCAGUCAAGUGCUGUGGCUUGUGGCCAAGGGAGGAUCUUUUCUUUUUUACCCAUGAAAGAUGACAUUGAUAUGUUGGAGUAAUGAGCCAGAAGAUAAACAUGAAUACAGACAAAUUCUGAAUUUGGAUUCAAAUAACAAGUUGCACAAAAACAAGGUAGGAGAGAUGUUUCUUGACAAUAAUUUGUAGAAAAAAAUUAUGUUUUGGCUGACUCAUUGUGAAUUAAUGGCAUGAAUAGCUGUUAAAAUUUUAUACUAGUAAUGGAGUAUCAUGUCUAAUAAUACAAAAAACAUCAACAUUCUAUGUGGCCACCAUUUAUGCUGCACUAACCAUGUACCAAGUACUGUGCUUAAUGCUUUUUUAUAUAUGACUACGACUCCUGAAAACCACAUUACUAUGUUCAUUUUAUGAAUGGAGAAACUUCGGUUCAAAGAGUUUAACUUGGCCAGGACACAGAGCUAGGACAUGAUGAAACCAAGUAUAUCUGACCAAAAAAGCUGUUGUUCUUCACCACUGAUUUUCUUGGUGCUCUAUGUGGGCCUGAACAUAUCUAGGACAUUUGGACUCAGUUGUAGAAGAUACAUUUUAAGACAGACAAUAACCAAACAGUGGCUUCAUAGGGAGGCUAUUAGCAUAGUAAAGAAUAUGGAAACCACAGCAUGUGGGGAAUGUUCGAAGAGAAGGAGGAUGUUUUGUGCAGAGGAGAGACAAUGGGAGGUGGAGGUCAGGAAUGAAAGGGUGUCAAAUGGAAGAGAGCAGACAUGUCCUGUGUGGCUCCAAAUGGCAGAACUGGAACAGCAGAUGGAAGCUACAGUGAAGCAGAUUUCAGCUUGACACAAGAACUAACUUUCUAAAGAAUAGAGAUGUGGGAUGAAGCUCUUGAACUCAUCCCCCUCCUCCCUCCAAGCCUGUACAGCCAUCUGUCAAAGAUGUUGGAUUUCAGGAAAGAGAUCCUUCCACCUCUAAGAGUCUGCGAUUUUCUAGAUGAGUUUAUAGUUUAUUUAAAAGAAAGGUAAAGACCAUUUGAGCUGAUUUAACAUGAAUCUUGUCUAGGGGCUGGGGGAUUACAUUAGACUCUGAGCUCCUUUCAGCCUUUUGAGCAGGUAACUCUUCUAUUGGGCCAUAACUGAGGCAUAUUUUAAAUCAGAAAGGAAGAAUAUUGUUUUUGUCCUGAAUCUAAAUCCUCCUUAAAAAUAAUAAUUCUUGGAUGGUAUUUUUGUAUUCAAUUCAUUUCAGUCUUUCCUGUGUGUUUAUUUUGUGUUCAGCCCUGCAUAGGUGAUAAAUUUGUAACCAUACCCCCUCUCUAGCCCAUCCCUCCUUACUACCACUCUAGGACAAGACCAUGAAUAGUCCUGCUUUUCAUGGCCCCUCCAAUUCCUCCUUUCCCUGAGGUACCUACAGGCAUUGUGCAGACAGAAGUUACCUGUGUUUGUAAUUCACAAACCCCAAAGAGCAGUGAAGAAAAAAGGAAUGAGUCUUACAUGAUUACAAGGAAGGAGGGGACAAAGCUGGCUCCAAGUGCAUUUCUACACAGUGUGGGUUGAAUUUUCUCUAGAGAAAGUGUGCUUAUUAUUGGUUUCCCACCAACCUUGUGGUGCAGAGGGCAUCUACGAAGUGCUAGAUGAAAUAGGAUCAUGUGCAAUUUCACAAGGUGUUCAAAGGGGAUAUAGAAUCUUGGUGUAAGAUUCGAAGAGCCCCAUUCCCUGAAAUUGUCCUUCUAUGGACCCGAAAUCUUACAAUUUUAACACUGUUCUUCUGAGUUAAGCAUUUCCCUAGCUAUUCUUCUAAAGGCAAGUCACCUGGGAGAUAAAAUACCUUAGCUCCUGAUGUCAGUACUGGAAAGGGAGUCUUCUUCCAGGAGGUAGUAGUAGUUUAUUGAUUACUUGCUUCAUGAUAGGUGCUGUCCUGAGCUCAUAUUAUUUUAAUCUUAGUUAAUAUUCACAACAGCACUAUAAUUAUAUAUCAUUACUGUCUGCAUUUUACAGAGGAGGAAACUGAGCCUUAGAAAGGUUAAGUACUUUGUCUAAGUUCACACAGCUAGUAAACGGUGGAGUCUGGAUUUGCCUUCAAAACCUAUAUUCUUAACCAGUAUGUAACAUUGUUGCUAGUGCUCUGUAGAUACAGUAAUUAUCUGACUUUCAGACACAGAAGAGAGCCCAGCUUAAGAAUGCUAUGUGUGUGUGUUGGGGGAGAGGGGGUAGGAGACACAGGAAGGUUUUAUUGUUAAUUAACCCUAAAUCCUAACCCUAGGUCAAUUAUUAAUCUAAAAUUUAUCUGAGAUGGUUAAUGUAAUGCUGACUUCUGACAUAGUAAGGUCAUCAUUAGCAUUUUACUAUUUGCCUCAAAGUCAACUGAAGUACAUAUCAGUAAGUAAUUACUUAUGGACUAACCCAGCUACAUUCUCUCUCCCUUCCUCCCUCCUUUCCUUCCUUCUUCCCUUCUUCCCUCUGGUUUCCUCCCUUCUCAGGUACUCAAUUAUUUCUGAGUAUUUGCUCUGUGCCUGGCACUGUGCUAUACGUUGAGGAUAUGAAGAUGAGUAAGUCUCAGUCUAUAUCUUUAGCGAUCUCACAGCCUGGAAGGAGAGUUAAAAAAUAAUUACUAUUCGACAUGGCAAUGGUUAUAAAGGAGCAGAUUUUCCAAACUGGUGUUUCAAGGAACAUUCUUUGGCAGGGUGUUAAGUAAGUGUACCAUGAAAAAGAAGUAUUUUGAGUUAAAAUAACUUGAGGAAAUGCUGGGUAAAAUAAAAUUAAGUAAGUUUUUUCUUCCUGGGGAAUUUUCAUACCCUUUAAAAUGCUAAUGUGCACUGUGAAUCUCCAAGAAGGGAAGAGAAUACAUUUUCCAAACUCAUUUGACCUCAUAACCUUCUUUUUACAUGACAUACUUAAUGAAAUAUUUGCUCAUUCUUCCAUCCAUGCAUCCAUCCAUCCAUCCAUCCAUUAUCCCUCCACCCAUCGUCCAUCUAUCUAUCUAUCUACUUAUCCAUCCAUCCAUCUAAACAUCUAUCCAUCCCUCCAGCCCUUCAUGAUGACCCACUAUGUGCCAGACACUGUACUACAUCCUGGGGAUCCAGCACGGAGUUUAGUAUUCUCUUGGGAAGAUAAGAAAGCAAACAAACAUAUACAAUUGUCAGAGUGUAGUAAGAUUCAUGUAGGAAAUAACUAGGGUUCUAUCAUGAGAAAAAAGCAGGGUGAUCCACUUAAGUACGUGGUCAAGAAAGCCCUCUGUGAGCAAAAGACAUUUCAGGCAAGUACCUGGAAAAAGAAAAUGAGCCAGUUUGCAAAGAGCAAGAAGAGCCAUCCAGGAAGAGGAAUCAGCAAGUGCCAAGUCCCUGGAAUGCAGAAAGCCUUGGCAAACAGAAAUUUGAGCUUCCUCCAGGAGUGCAGGUCUUCUUAAAGGCAGAAGGCUGGACCUGAUAUUAAAAAAUUAGAAUCUCAUCCUCAUAAUAUCACAGAGUUGGAGGAGACCCUGGCAACAUCGAUUCCAAGCUCUUAUUCAAGAAGGUCCCAUCUUGUAACAUACAGGGCUGUCUGCCACACUUGGCUGUUUAUAGGAUUUUCCUCUUUAGAUGGGAGGUUAACUUCAACCUCCUAAUGUAGCUGGUGAGAAUGUUGCUUGUGACAUUUCUCUUUCAUGUGAAAUGAGGACCAAAGAGGAUUCAACAUAUCACUAUGUUUUAAAGGAGAAACUUCUCUCAGAGGUGCAAAUCCCAAUACAAAUGAUCUUAAGUGGUAACCUUUGUUCUCUGUUAAAAAUGGGAAACAACAAGCCUGAAAAAGGAAAUUGACGAAGAAACAAUUUGGUUGUUCUUGACUCAGUGGCCAAGGAGGGAACACAGGUAACCCUGAUUCUUGAAGCCUGAGUGCCCUGCUCCCCAGACUUUACCUUCCAGUUCUCCCUGCAAGAUUAAACAUCCCCAAACACUAUUUUUGUGGUCUCUGCCCUGGUUCAAGGAGUUAUAAUGGAUCUUCUUUAUUGUCAAAUCAACAGAAAACCUCUCAGCAAGACAUUCAGGACUAUCUAUUAUUAUCAUCAUUUUCUUCUGGCUGACCCUCUUCCUUCUCUUUCACUUCCCCCAACACAUAGGUGCUCUCUCUUUUUCUCUUUCUCUGAACGUGUUUCAGCAUGGAAUUAAGGACACACAUACACACACAAAAGAAAAAAAAUUGGGCUUUGGUAUUGCAGCUGUAGCUUUGAUCUUCUUUUUAAAAAAUUUUUAUUGAUUUAUUUAAAUUUUUUAGUUUUUAUUUCUUCUAAAAAAUGGGAUACAUAUGCACAACAUGCAAGCUGGAGCUUUGCUCUUUCUUAUGCUGCUUGUUGUUUGCCUGACUGUGCAUCUUGCAGACCUUUAGCUUCUUCAUCUGCAUUCAUAGGUAGUAGUAAUAAUAUUUAUCAAGUAAUAAUAAUAAUGGUUACACAAGACUGUUGUUAUUUGAACUCACCUGUCACAAUAUCUUCCCACUAUGGGCUAGGACAGACUCCUUCCUCUGGAAUCUAAUUCUUCUAUGUUGCUUGCCCUCUGCUGAGGUCCUUUCUCUUUGGAGACAAGAGAAUCCUUCUGAUUCUCCCCUCCCAUUUGGACUUCAUGGCCCUUACUUAGCUAUUUAGAGUUGGCCUUUAAAAUGGCAGACUUUGUUUCCCAUUUUCUCUACUUUUUGCUAUCAGAGGCCACCCAGCUUUCCUCCAUUCCCAGUUCUUGUGUCCAAGCUAACACAGCCUGUGUGAGAGCCUUUGGCUCUUGCUUACUUUGGAGGGAGAAUUGGAAAGUUAUUCUCUGAGGUCCAACCUUGGUAAGCAGAGACAAUGAAGAUCUAGUCCUAUCCCCUUGGCCAGUUUUCAGUCAAGACCUCUUCUUUGUUGGCUAUACAAGGAACUCUGGUAUUGGUAUCUGGUCUACCUCUGUAGCCUCAUGGUCUGGUGACUCUCACAUGUCACUGGACACAGUCUGAAGCUAGCCAUGACUUCUAGAUCCUUGACUUACUAUAACCUCAGCUAAUUCAACAGGAAGAUAGAAGAGUUGCAUUCAGAACCUAGAAUCCAGCAUGUCCUAGCUCUUGCCAUAGCCCUCGCCACAUCAAUUGACAUUCCCAAAUAAGCUUCUGCAGGUCAUCUAUACAUCCUUCCUCUUUUCUACUGUAGAUGCCACAAGUUCACAGGUAACGAGAUGUGGGUUGCUUAUGUCCUUUUCCUGCUGUUUCUCUGGUUGGGGAAGCACUAGGGAAAGAGGAACUUCUUCUGAUGCUCAGGGCCUCUGUCAAGACUGCUUGGAUGGCAAUGUGCGAUGGCAAUUUGCAAUGGCUCGGGCUAGCGUGGUGGGGUCAUAGCAUCAUCCAAGGCUCUAGCACAGACCUAGUAGUGACUCUGUUAGGGUCUGAAUAUCCAAAAUUCAUAGGUUGAAAUCCUAAACCCCAAUGAGAUGCUAUUAAGAGAUGGGAGGUGAUUAGAUUAUGAAGGCAGAGCCCUUAUAAAAGGGAUGAGUGCCCUUAUAAAAGAGGCCCAAGAAAGCUCAUUCGUCACUUCCACUAUGUAAGGACAGAGUGAGAAGGUUCAAGCCAGGAGAGAACAGGCUAUCACCAAACACUACAUCUGCAACUCUUUGAUAUUAGACUUCUCAGUCUCCAGAACCGUGUAAAUAACUUUUAUGAGUAAAUCAGUUUAUGGUAUUUUGUUAUAGCAGUGUGAAUAGACUAAGACGUUCCUACCUAGAAAAUGCCUCUUUCCUUGUCACUGGCUGGAGAAGAAUGAUUUAGAAGAGUGCAUCCAAUUCUGGAACAGAUUCAAGGAUGUUAUUGUGUAUCAACUGGUGAUUUCAAUACUCUUGUCCUUGCUGCAAGAAAAAAAUGCGUUGGAACUUGGGAUGUGUGUAAAGGAGGAAGGAGUGCUUUAUGUAUUUCUCCAGCAGAAUUUCGCUAAUAUCUCAUUAGUUACAUUGUUACAUGAUCACCUCUAAUAGCAAGGAAGGCCAGGAAAUGGUCUUUGAAACUAAGUGCAUUGCCUCCCUGAAUUAAAUUGGAAUUCUAUUUGUAGGAAGGAAAAGUGAUAGCAUUUGGUAGGCAACUACAGUGUUUAUCAUCUCUAAUGACACCAGUCAACCUACCUUACCUACCAUUUCUCUGAGCUCCUUCUCUUGGAACAUUUCAUCCUAUAGCUACCUUUUCUCUGUGUUUUUUCUCAGUGUUGCCAGAACCCAGGUCAGGAUCUCAAUAGAGGGCAGGCCACCUUAAAGGAACUAUAAUGUGCUUCUGGUGGUCUCAGGAUCGGUGUAAAAAGCAUUCUGACCAGUUCUUGGUCCCAGAAGUCAUCUAAGAGGGAAACAGUGAUUAACUCUUCUUCUUAAUGAGAUGCUGGAAGACCAUUUGGAGCCUUGGAAUAGUGAUGAAUAGUUUAGCACCAUCCCCUUGGUGAUAAGUGAGUUUUGCUUAAUUAGUUUGCGGGAGAUCUGGUUGUUUUAAAGAGUCUGGGACCUGCCUCUUCUCUCUCUCUUGCUCCUGCUCUUGCCAUGUGACGCACUUACUCCCCCUUUACCUUCAUCCAUGACUAUAAGCUUCCUAAGGCCUCACCAGAAGCAGAUGCUGGCACCAGACUUCCUGUACAGCCUACAGAACCAUGAGCCAACAGGGACCAUCAACCUAGUGGUGUUGCAACCUAGUCCACUCACAUCAUUUCUCAUGUCUUUCCUGUUCAGCUCACUCUGAGCCACUGCUGUCCUAGGUUACAAGCUUCUUAUGAACAGAGCUAUGACUUAGACACCCUCAUGGGUACAAACAAUAGGCGUACAUUAAGCAUGUCAUAGACUAAUUAAAUGGAAUCCGUAGCAACAUGUUGGGUUGCAGAAUUUUGCCUCUUUAAGAAAGCAUUUACUAAUUAAGGAAAAGUAGGAGACACAUCUUUCGUCUCUUCCUUCGCUAUGGUUUGGAUGUCGUUUGCCCCACCAAAACGCAUGUUAAAAUGUGAUCCCCAGUACGCAGUGUGGAGGCAGGGCCUCGUGGGAGGCGUUAGGGUCAUAGGGGUAGAUUCCUCAUGAAUAGAUUAAUGUACUCCCUUGUGGGUGAGUGAGUCUUAGUUCUCAUGGGAAUGAAUUAAUUCCUUUGUUAGUCCAUUUUUUCAUUGCUAUAAAGAAAUACCUGAGGCUGGGUAAUUUAUAAAGAAAAGAGAUGUAAUUGGCUCAUGGUUCUGCAGGCUGUACAGGAAGCAUCUGCUUCUGGUGAGACCUUAGGAAGCUUACAGUCAUGGCUGAAGGCAAGGGGGAGUAGGGGCAUCCUAUGGUGGGUGCAGGAGCAAGAGAGAAAGAAGAGGGAGGUCCCAGAGUUUUUUAAACAACUGGAUCUCCUGUGUGCUAACUGAGAAAGAACUCACUUAUCACUAAGGGGAUGGUGCUAAACUACUCAUGAGGGAUCUGGCCCCAUGAUGCAAUCACCUCCACCAGGCCCCACCUCCAACUUUGGAAAUCAUAUUUCCAAGUGAGAUUUUGAGGGGACAAACAUCCAAACUGUAUCAGUUCCCAUAAGAGCAGGUUAUUAAAAGGAGUCUCACUUCCUUGAUUUUUCUCUUCCCAUGUGAUCUCUUUGUACACGCUGGCUCCUCUUCCACUUUCCGCCGUGAAUUCAAGCAGCAGGAGACUCUCACCAGAUGCAGUUACUUAAUCUUGUAAUUUUCAGCCAUCAGAAUCAUGAGCAAAAUAAACUUAUUUUCUUUAAAAUGAUCUUGAAUGGUGAUAGGCUCUAGACCUUGGUCUUCUCAGUGGAGAAACCUAUUCUUGCUUCAGGUAAAAAUACUCCAAUAUGUGCUACAUAGGUAGGUCAGAAGCAUUGUUUUAAAUCAAGGCACCACAUUAUUUAUGUGUGCUUCUUGGGUGGUCUGAAUCAGGACCCCAGGAUUAGCAUAGUGCUAAAAAAGUAGACUUGCUGCAUCAUUCUGGAGGCCCACAUAUUUAUUAUGUAGCCACUGACUCACUCCUUACACUUGCAACUCUAGUCACAGAACACCUUUUAACUUCAGAUAUGAAGGAUACCUUAGUUUGGUCACUCUGUGACACUGUAACUUAGGGCUUCUCAUCAAAGUCUUGGCCCUGACCUCAGAGUUCCAGGAUCAGUGGCCUCAGCUAGGGCCUAGUUAGUGACAUUUUUAGAUACCCUCCUUCCUCAAGUAAUACUAAUUGUGCAUCCUAUAGUGUAAAACCACCUCAAAACCCCAGUGAGAAACUGAACUGUAGACUCCAUUAACCCCAGUCACAAAUAAGCUCCCUGAUGUCAUUCACAGUUGAUCCCGACUUCAACACACUGGCUUCUAAAUCUUGUCAAUCACUGAUAUGAUGUCAUACCAGACCCAACAUGCCAUCCACCCCAUGUCACCACAGAGAAAAUCUAAAACUUCCAUUCCAUUUGGUCACAUGUUUGAAUUUUAGCUCUGGAAAUAUAUAAUUCUGUAACUGAUGGCAUAGACCAUCUUUAAUUCCAGAAAGAAUGACCUCCUACUUUGGCUACAGUUUCUUCUUAAUUCCAGCUUUGAACCAAUCUCUAAAGCUGGCCACAGACUGAGCCCAAGACCAGACCCAAGUUACCCCAUAAUCAUGAUCAUCCACUUUAUAUUUUGUCUGACCACUCCUGGAUUCUUUCUUUGGUCAUAGAUUGCUCUAUACUUGAUAAAUUAUAAAUGUAUAACCCUAGCCACAAAUGGAACCCAGAGCUUCAGCCUCAGUCCAUCCUCAAACUCUAGCCAUAAAUUAACAACCCAGAAAGAUUUCUCUCUUUGGCUAACUAAAAAUCAGAAUUAUCAUCAAUUUUUAAAUGAAAAAUUUAAAUAUAUAUAAAUGUCAAGAAACCAGUAUAGUGAGCCCUAGUAUGUAUUUCCCAGCUCCAACAAUUACCAGUACAGUCUUUUUUUCAUUCAUAACCUUACUGACUCCUUUUUCCUCCCUCUCUUUGAUUAUUCUGAAGGAAAUGCCGACAUCAUUAUAUCCUAUCAUCUGUAUGUGUUUUGGUUUGUAUCUCUAAAAUGUAAGGGCUCUGUUGAAAAAGAUUGACAGGUUAAAACCAUGACAUAAUUGUUACACCUAAAACUUAAAAAUUCCUUAUGCACAAAUAUCUAGCAAGUGAUUUUAUUUCUCCAAUUUUUUAUAUGUAGAAUUUUCAGUUUGAUCAAAAUAAGUUACUUGUUAUUUGUUAAAUAAAUACAUUGUUAUUGGUUGAUAUGCCUGUGUCUUUUAAUAUAUAGGUUUCCUCUUUAUUACUAUUGUUAUUGCAUUUUUUGUUGCUGUUGUAGGAACUAUUAACUGCCAACUAUUAAGCUCUAAAUAUGGGCCCACACUGAUGCUUAGUUCUGGUCACUGAUGCACCAGCACAAACUGUCCCAGAGAAGGAAGGCUCUAAUCCCAAGGGAUGCAAGCCAGGGAGUGGGUGGCAUAUCCCUCAGUACAGCCACUAACCAUGAAACUCCACAAAGCUUCUGCCCUCCAACUGGUGAAGAACAUCUGGCUGGCAUAUCAAACGAUGGCCAAAUCUUGCAUUUAUCAUGGUCAUUCUGUUCUCUCACUGCUAUUUCCUGACACAGAAUCGUGGCAGCAAAGAUGAAGCUAAACAGCCUGUGUAUACAUAUGGAAAAUUUAAAUUCACAUGGGCAGGAUAGGCUCAUGCUGUCCUUGCCCAUGCUUAGUCUGACUAUGGCAAUAAAACUCACACAAGACAUGAUUUACAAUCCAGAGCUACAGUUGCUAAGAUAAGCCACUAAGGUGGACCAUUAAGGUGGCAGUGUCAACAUUUGCAGGAGUUUAGAGAAGGGAAAGAAAUUGAGGCAUCACCCAGUGGGAGAGAGAAGUGUACAGAUAGCUUUCAUCAUGGAGAAAAAUAACCCUAAUGUCAAAAUGACCAGGUUUUGGUGAUGAGGACUUGAUUGUUUCCACAAGCAGCUAGUUUAUAUUUGAGUGCUGAGAUUUUUGAAGCAUUUGGCAUGAUUAGCAUUGAGUGAAGUAGCAAAAAUCAGCAUCUUCAGCAACUUGAUAUGGCCUUCAGAGAAUGAUGCUCAAACUUCUUGGCCAAUAUUCAAGUCUCUGCCCAUCAUAUUCUCGCCUAUUUUGACAGCCACAUCUCCUUCUGCUCUACUGGACUCUUCCCCAGCCAGACUGAGCUCCUCUCUGCUUCCCAAACAGGACAUGUACUUUUCUCUAUUUUUGCAUCAUCUGCUCAUAUGUUCCCUUACUCUUGGAAUGCCCUUCCCAAGCCCUGUGCACGUGCUAUCCAGGAACUUGGAUGAUAACUCUUGGACGAAACAGGAACUGUUAAGAAGCAGCAGGAGGUGCUCCUUAAACACAGAAGAAACCAAAAGAAAGAUUUGUUUAAAAUGACCCAGAGCUUGGGGCUAGGAAGUUCCUGGAUACCUAGACAGCUGGAAGAGGAGCAUGAACCAGGAGGCCAGGAGAGAACUCACUCCAACCUGGUGCCCUCACUAUGGCACAAGUCAUCCAAAGAGAAAAGCUCCAUGAAAACAUGUUAAGCAAAAUUAUUCGUUCUCAUUUCUUAAUGUAGCUUUCUGAUUUAAUGGGAAAAAAAUGCUUGUUUUGGUUUAAAUUUCUCUAGUUUUUAGAUACCAUUUUCUCUCCCAAACUAGGUCAUUUGAAUUAUCUGCUGAUAGUUCAAAUCUGUAGAUAAUUUGCUUUUACUCACAUUCCUAAGAACUAAUUACCUGUACAUAUAAAAUGAUGAAAUCUCAUUAUAUUUUCUUUUAAAACUCUGACAUGCAUUUAAUUACAUUAGUCAAUUAUUACUGUACAUGCUGAGGAUUUGCUAUUGACCAGCUCGUGCUGGAAUAUUUACUGCACAGAUGUGUUACUUUAAUUAAACAAAUGUGAUUACACACAUAUCAAUUUUUAUUUGGUUUCAAAGCCCAGAAUCUAAAAGUGACGCAGUUGGCAGAGCUGUGUGGUGUGGUGCUGGUUCCCAGGAACACAGCAAGAGGCACUUUACUGAGGGAACGCUGCGUGCCUGCAACUCUGCGUGGGAGACUUCAGCCACAAGUGGGUUUUUGUCUGUGUGUAAGUGACAUUGAGUGAACCCAAGAAGGGAACAAACAAACCAGCCCUGAAUCUUUCUAGCACAUCUUCAGCUUUGCUCUCUUAUAUAUAGGAGGUGAGGGACAGUGCUUGGAGAAUCUGCAGGAAAACUAAUCUAAAACCCAGUCCAUUUGAGAGUGGGAGUUGCUUGGAACUGGUCCUUGGUUAAAUAGGCCAGCUGGUAUUUCUCUUUAAAAUCAGGGAUGAAAUUGGACAACACUAGAACAUUGAACUUGGUCUCUUGGGCUUUUCCUGCCAUAUUCUACAGCAACUCCCUAAGCCAUCAGGUUGGCAUCAAGAAAGAAGUCCACCUCCCAGUGCCUAGUCCCAAACAAGCAGUUUUGAGGAACAAUGUGAAGAAUUAGAUGGAAAAUAUGAACGUGCUUUACAAACUGGAGAAAUAUAAAAUUAUCUACAACUCUUGCUAAAAUGAUUACACAUAUCAGGCAAAGAGUAACUAGUGUUGGUUAUUAAUAAAGGCAGUAAGUCAACUCAUUAAUCAGCAAACACUGAGCACUGUAUGAACUGGUUUCUGGUGGGCACAAACAGAAAGACAGGAUUUUGUGCACAUGAAUGAAGACUAGUUGUUUUCCUUGGCCUUGGACACAAGGGAUUGCUGUGUUGGUUGUCAAGGGUAUCUGUGUCUGGGAUGCAUGGCUAUGGCACCUGAAGAACCAAUCCAAUUGGUCAAGUCAACCAAAAGUUCUGCUUAAAUAGUUUCCAGUCAUUUUGGAUCUAGGUAGUGUCUCUGAGGAUGAGAUUGGGAGCCAAAGAGAUGGGACACGCUUGUGCUCCCAAAUUCACCCUGAGCAUCAAGAAUUCACUGAAAUGCUGGAGAGCAUGUCAUCCACUCCAGGCUCAGAGGGAGGUAAAGGAGAGGCAGCAAGUUGUUGCGAAAAGUAAAGAAAGUGCAGGCUGGAGGUGAGACAGAGAAGCACACGAAGAGCAGGUGCAACACCCAGAUGUGUGGCUUCAACCACUUAUCAUGACAGUGCCCUAUCUAACAGUGAUGAUGAAACCCAUCUCAUAGUGUUGUUACGGGGAUUAUGAACCAUAUAUGUGUGAUGCCCAGAACUUAGUACAUUCUCAGGAAAUUGCUGUUGGAGAUGAUGAGGAUAAUAGGGUUGAUGUGGAGCAGCUGGGAAUGAUUAAUUUUUGGGAAAAAAAGUUGUUUUCAUUCACUUUGCCUAUGCCAUUCUUCUUUCAGCAUUUGGUGCAGCACUGACCCAUUCCCCUUCUCACCUCAAGACAAAAGCCUACAUAGGUACCUUUGCAGAGCGUUAAGAGAAGGAAAGUUAUCUGGUCCAGCUCCCUUGAAAUGAAUUGCAUAACUCUUUCAGCUAUGUAGUGGCAGAAUUAGGAAACGAAUCUGGGUCUCUUACUUUGAGGUAAAUGCUCCUUACCUUGCAUAUUUUUAUGGGAUGAAUAUUAUACAUCACCUACAGAGAUAUGCAUUUAAAAAGAGAAGUAUGAGGAAGGCAAUAAUUAACCCAAACUAGAAGUGGUAUUUCAGACAUUUCUGUUUUAUCAAGUGAGACACUGUUGGGAUAUUGCUGGCAUAUACACCCUCCCAGUAGCUCUUGGAAGGGGCCAGCAUUUUCCUAUGAAUUAGACUUGAGGUUUCCAACUCAUGUGGGUUGAAAUAUUGACCCUUCAACCAAGUGGAGUUUGGGCUUCUUCAGGUUCCACAUUCUCUCUCCUUCACCCUGAGUACCUUAUGCAAAUAUGAUCAUUUUCUGUGAGUGCCGUGAAGUUAGAAAGUCUGGGAAGCAUCAGCUUAGCUGGACUAGCUGAUCCAUAAGACCAGGCUUUGCCUGUGAAGAGCUAAACGAUCAGCAUAUAACAUUAUUUGAGCUUCAGUUUCCCUGUCAGUGAAAUUGAUAUAAUUCUUAUCUGGCAGUUUUGCUGUAAAGAUUCAUUGAGAUAGUCCAGUAUAGUGUCUAAAAUAGCAUAGAUGCCUAAAUUCACUGUGAGUAGAAUGUACCACUAUUUUUUUUGGGGGGCUUGUAAUUUUAUUUGUUAAAAUAGAGAACACAAAGAACUUCUGGCUUUCCACUACUGUCACAGCUGACUGAUUGAGCUUUGAGCUUUGGCUGUGACCUGUUUCUACCUUACGUCGAGUUCCAUUUAAUCCACCAGCAAAGACCUGGUCUGAUGUGGUCACUAUGGCUUAGGGUAGCAAAACUGGAGCUAGGCCCUGCUGUCCUCACUUCCUCAAAAGCACCCAGGGCUCAGCUCAGGCCUAUCCCUGCACCCCAACCCCACCCCACUCCCCAGCUGCUGAUCUCAUUCUUUUGCCAGGGCCAAUUAUAAUUAAAACCAGAUUUGUAGGGAGAAACAUGCGUGCACACACAGCCAAAGCCUGGAAUUGCUUACCCAAAAACAAGUUCCCUCCUCCUUCUGCUCCAGUUCUUCCGCCUUACCAAGAGUAGGGGAGGGAGGUGGGGAGAAGAAAUGGGAUUUGCACUGGAUGUGCUGAAGCAAGGUGAUCCUGGACAAAUGACAGGCAAGCAGUCAUCCUCCACCUCGCUGGUCUUGGACUAACUCAGGGCAGCAGCCUCAGGUUGCCCAGUGGAGUCCAGCCCAGCAGUAGCACUUGGCCUUCCCUCCCUUGGGGUGGGUCACUGUGGGUUGAGCCCAGCACCAUGGGGGCCAGGGCUGGGCUGCUUGCCCACUGUACCUCAUUAUGUAUUCCUUCAUUGUUUCCUAUGCAAAUUAAGUUAAUGAGAAUUAGGAACAUAAUGGAGCCCAUUCACCGUUCUAGUCGCUGGAAAAUGGGUUUGACUACCAAUUUUCCAUUACAGCUGUUUUGUAAUUACCGUGGAAUACUCUGAAUUCUAAUGGAGACGCUGAGCUGCCUGACAGCCUCUUGACUACUUUUUUUUUUUUCCGGAAGGUUGAAAAAAGGAAACUCAAACCCUAUAACAUAAAAGCCUUUCUAUCAGAGUGCCUUGGUUUGCUUCUUUUAUGGAGCGGUCCUCCACUGUUGCAGGAAGGAUCUGCUUCCAUCACUGGAGUCCUGACCUUUGCUGUGAUUAGACUAGUUAACCUGUGGUGCCAGAGUUAUCCCUUGCCUUGCAAGCAAGCAAAGCAGAGUUUGCAUUUACACUCAGCCAGGAGUGGCCCUAUGGGGCGGGCCAGGGCAAUCCAGGGUCCAAGUGCACCACUGCUCCUG